RNAcentral lists this ribosomal RNA (406 nucleotides) under uncultured bacterium. RNAcentral describes it as "partial 16S ribosomal RNA". It matches the Rfam family "Bacterial small subunit ribosomal RNA", at positions 30 to 526 of the family's 1533-position model. The record is from RNAcentral.
AUUGAACGCUGGCGGCAGGCCUAACACAUGCAAGUCGAACGAGUGGCGGACGGGUGAGUAAUGUCUGGGAAACUGCCUGAUGGAGGGGGAUAACUACUGGAAACGGUAGCUACUACCGCAUACCAUCGGAUGUGCCCAGAUGGGAUUAGCUAGUAGGUGGGGUAACGGCUCACAUAGGCGACGAUCCCUAGCUGGUCUGAGAGGAUGACCAGGCACACUGGGACUGAGACACGGGCCAGACUCCUACGGGAGGCAGCAGUGGGGAAUAUUGCACAAUGGGCGCAAGCCUGAUGCAGCCAUGCCGCGUGUAUGAAGAAGGCCUUCGGAUUGAAAAGUGCUUUCAGGUGGGAGGCGUUACCUGCAGAGGAAGCAACGGCUAACUCCGUGCCAGCAGCCGCGGUAAUAC